RNAcentral lists this ribosomal RNA (889 nucleotides) under Acinetobacter sp. 1Ucendo70. Its description in RNAcentral is "bacterial SSU rRNA". It matches the Rfam family "Bacterial small subunit ribosomal RNA", at positions 9 to 873 of the family's 1533-position model. The record is from RNAcentral. Lineage: Bacteria; Pseudomonadati; Pseudomonadota; Gammaproteobacteria; Moraxellales; Moraxellaceae.
UUGGAGUUUGAUUCCCUGCUCAGAAUGAACGCUGGCGGCAGGCUUAACACAUGCAAGUCGAGGCGGGGAAGAGUAGCUGCUACUUGACCUAGCGGCGGACGGGUGAGUAAUGCUUAGGAAUCUGCCUAUUAGUGGGGGACAACAUCUCGAAAGGGAUGCUAAUACCGCAUACGUCCUACGGGAGAAAGCAGGGGACCUUUCGGGCCCUUGCGCUAAUAGAUGAGCCUAAGUCGGAUUAGCUAGUUGGUGGGGUAAAGGCCUACCAAGGCGACGAUCUGUAGCGGGUCUGAGAGGAUGAUCCGCCACACUGGGACUGAGACACGGCCCAGACUCCUACGGGAGGCAGCAGUGGGGAAUAUUGGACAAUGGGGGGAACCCUGAUCCAGCCAUGCCGCGUGUGUGAAGAAGGCCUUUUGGUUGUAAAGCACUUUAAGCGAGGAGGAGGCUACCGAGAUUAAUACUCUUGGAUAGUGGACGUUACUCGCAGAAUAAGCACCGGCUAACUCUGUGCCAGCAGCCGCGGUAAUACAGAGGGUGCAAGCGUUAAUCGGAUUUACUGGGCGUAAAGCGCGCGUAGGUGGCCAAUUAAGUCAAAUGUGAAAUCCCCGAGCUUAACUUGGGAAUUGCAUUCGAUACUGGUUGGCUAGAGUAUGGGAGAGGAUGGUAGAAUUCCAGGUGUAGCGGUGAAAUGCGUAGAGAUCUGGAGGAAUACCGAUGGCGAAGGCAGCCAUCUGGCCUAAUACUGACACUGAGGUGCGAAAGCAUGGGGAGCAAACAGGAUUAGAUACCCUGGUAGUCCAUGCCGUAAACGAUGUCUAUCUAGCCGUUGGGGCCUUUGAGGCUUUAGUGGCGCAGCUAACGCGAUAAGUAGACCGCUGGGAAAAACUGA